CUACGGGUCGCACCAGUGGGGAAUAUUGCACAAUGGGCGCAAGCCUGAUGCAGCCAUGCCGCGUGUAUGAAGAAGGCCUUCGGGUUGUAAAGUACUUUCAGCGGGGAGGAAGGGAGUAAAGUUAAUACCUUUGCUCAUUGACGCUACCCGCAGAAGAAGCACCGGCUAACUCCGUGCCAGCAGCCGCGGUAAUACGGAGGGUGCAAGGUUAACCGGAAUUACUGGGCGUAAAGCGCACGCAGGCGGUUUGUUAAGUCAGAUGUGAAAUCCCCGGGCUCAACCUGGGAACUGCAUCUGAUACUGGCAAGCUUGAGUCUCGUAGAGGGGGGUAGGAUUCCAGGUGUAGCGGUGAAAUGCGUAGAGAUCUGGAGGAAUACCGGUGGCGAAGGCGGCCCCCUGGACGAAGACUGACGCUCAGGUGCGAAAGCGUGGGGAGCAAACAGGAUUAGAUACCCGUGUAGUC
This 463-nucleotide ribosomal RNA is filed under the name uncultured bacterium. RNAcentral's name for it is "partial 16S ribosomal RNA". It matches the Rfam family "Bacterial small subunit ribosomal RNA", at positions 339 to 795 of the family's 1533-position model. The record is from RNAcentral.